UGUUGUGAGUGGGAAUCGAAUCCACGACCGCCAGCGCUAGAGCCAGUGCUAUGACCGCUGCUCCAACGCGUCGUCGUUAGUCGUCUUCGUCACUAUAGUAAUACUUACAUAAAAAGUGAUUUUAAAAACACAUUACUCUUUAACUUUAAAUGGUGACCAAAUAUUUUGUCCCCUUUUUUAGAUGUAUUAUUUAUUUGGCCCCUUACAAUGCAUACAAUUUUUAAAAAUUACCAAAGUAAUUAAACUCUUGUAACUGCAUAUGGUUGACGAGUUAAAAGGCGAAUAAACAUUCUUACGCCGAUCAUCUCACUUUUUGCACUAAUUUUAUGUAAAAGAAUGUUCCAGAAAGAUGGAGUUAACAAGUAAAAUACUAGCACCGUUAACGAUUAUAAUAAACUUUUUAAAAGACUA
This is a long non-coding RNA of Melitaea cinxia (Glanville fritillary), 411 nucleotides long. RefSeq lists it as uncharacterized. The record is from RefSeq and is a predicted model, not a curated record. Lineage: Eukaryota; Metazoa; Arthropoda; Insecta; Lepidoptera; Nymphalidae. The transcript is spliced from 2 exons.